UUCCUGUCUCCCAGCUCUCACCCGCGUGGAUUUGAGGUCCAAGCCGGCAAUUUCCACGUCCGGAGGUGCCAGGAGGCUUCGCGGUCUAAGCUCGCUGCCUCCCACGGCAGCGGACAGGACUGACCCGAGGAGAGUUUGGCUUGGCAGAAGGCAAUGACCAGGGUUCAUGCUCCAGAUACAGGCCUGGAGGCACCAGAGUGAUGUCUAAAAAAGAAGUGGAUUUGGAGCCAGACAUCACCAGGGUUCCAGCCACGACUUAGCCCCAGGCUACGGGAUAGGAAGGGCCCACUGUACCCGGGGCACAAAAGGCGCAGAGCUGACACCGAGCCCCGCCCUAGACCAGCUUUCCAUACUGCGCAAACGCGAAGAUCCGCGAGCUGCUCCGGCGCCCCAGGGGCGGGGCUGACCUUCCCUCUUGCGCGCCCAAUCACUAGUAACGUUCCGCCAGUUCCCGUCAGCAGCAGGACCCAAUCAACGCCUAGAGCGGAGGUGUCCCACCUAUCCCGAGUCCCUGCUGCUAGCCUAGAGCGUGUGGAGCUGCUGCUUGGCUCUCGGUACGCUGGGGCCCGCCGGUCCUGCGGCGAUCUUCCAGCCUGCUUUCCCGGGAUGUCGGUGGCCUUUGUACCGGACUGGCUGAGAGGCAAGGCGGAAGUCAAUCAGGAGACGAUCCAGCGGCUCCUGGAGGAGAAUGACCAGCUGAUCCGCUGUAUCCUGGAGCACCAGAACAAAGGCCGGGCGAAUGAGUGCGUCCAGUACCAGCAUGUGUUACAUAGAAAUCUCAUUUAUUUGGCUACCAUCGCAGAUGCCAACCCAACCAGUGCUUCAAAGGCAAUGGAAUAAUCUUCCAGUUGGCUGUUGGGAGGAGUACUUGAAUGUGAUCCAUUUCCUACGAAAUGAAGACAGGAUCUUUACCAACUCAGUGUCUUAAAACAUGAAUGAAAACCCCUGUGGCUCUUUUAAGAAUGAAAAUUUUCAACCUGAAGAGGAAAUCGAGCAAGUCUUGGCAACAACAGGAAUUGGUGAGACUGCCGACCAGACCCUGCCAAUGGACAUGCAGCUCUGUGUACCCUCCUGCCAGGUGGUACUUCCAGGCCUCCUGCCUGCUCUUUUCAGGUUACUUUGAAAUAAAGCUUGCCUCUCCAUGAAAGGCUGAUAUUGAGGUAUAGACAUUUUCAUGUAAUAAGUGUUCCACUUGAUUUUCCAGAAAAAACGCUUAAGGACUUAAAAAUAUUUAUCACAACACCAUUAUCUUUGCUAACAAAAUUAAUAGUAAUUCUUACUAACAGAUGAUGUUUUAGGAGAGAAAAAAUCUUUUUCCUUCUCUCUUUUUAAGGUUUUCAGCUGGGGCUUUAUACCAAGAGGUAGACUAACAAAAGGAAAUAAUACAGAUUUAUUUAAUACAUGUUUUGAUAGGAUAUGGGGGCCUUCAGAAGGACCCAAAGAAACAGUUAAACCUUAGUGUUUUUAUACUAAGUGUGACGAACAGUGAAAAGUCAUGGGAAAAUGUGACAGGACAGAAUGGUAUGAGCUAACUGUAGUAAACUGGGAGAAACUUAGCCAGGCCUUUGUUCAAAUUCUCAGUGUCCCUCCAUCUUUAGAGAUAAGGAUUCUCCUUUCUUCUGGAGGGUAGGAAGAACACCUCUCAUAUGAGGGUCUUAUGACCUGCUUCCUGGGAGAAGGUCAGGAGUCCUUCCAGCUCCUGCCAUUUUUCCAGUUCCCUCAGCUUAAAGUAUUUAAUAUGCCAAGGCCUCAUAUUUUGAAGUAGCAUGUCCUGAACACCAUCAAUGUUCAAUUUUCUUAAAUCAUCACAAAAUCUUUCUUUGUUGAUUUGUCUGAAUCGAUUCAAACAAUCACACACUGCAUUUUGCUGAUGUCCCUUAAGUCUCUUUAAAAAUAAAAAUACUUAACAAUUCCCCUUCAUUUACCCUAAAAUUUCUCACAUUCUAGACUCACCUAAUUGUAUUCCUGUGGUGUCAUUAAAUAUGACCCACUAUCACCAAUUUUCCUGUAAACCGGUAGAUCUCAAGGCUCAUUCAGACUCAGGUUCUAAUAUUUUUGGUAAAAACACAUAGUUGGAGGUGAUAGGUACCUGCUUUUGCAUCACAUCAGGAAGUGACCUGAUUUAUUUAUCAGGUUUCCAAUAGCCUUUCACUUAAAUUAUGAUCUAACCAGCUUUGAUCUAUUAUUUCAUUAGGGUUUGCACACUGGUGGCUUUCUAUUUUAUCACUCCUGUCUUUAUUAGAUUUGUUUUAUAAAGAAUUUUUUAUCUUUUGAGACUUAUUUGUAAAGUGAGGCAAAGAGAUUCUUGUAAGGGAACCAAAAAGUAGAACUUCACACUCCUGGCUCUUUUUGUUAGAGUCAAGGAUUGCAGUCCAGGGAGACUAUAAUGUGUAAAUAGUGAGGAGAGACCUUGAUUUGAAUUUCAUCUAUCACAGCCUCUGAAAACUCAUUUCCUCAUGUCUAAAAGGGGGAUGAACACAGUAUCUGUUUGUGGAGAUGGUGAGACUGAAAUAAUGCAGUUGAGAGCAGAGUACGUGGUAAACACUUGUGUUCACUGUGGUGUGUUAUCAAGGCCUUCCCAAGUCUGGGAGGUGAACUUUUCUAUGCUCCCUGACCCAUUCUGCCAUCCUUACGUUUCUAGCCUGUUAAUGGUCUCCUCCCACUGUUCAUGGGGUUGGUGCAUAUACUCUGCUGAAUGGGCUGCUCAUACACCUAAUCUGGUCAGCAGAUAUGGUGAGUGCUGUGCAGUGUUUUUAGUUUUGAAUUAGUUGCUGACAUAUAAAGAUGGGAGAAUUUCCCGUUAAAGCCUGGAUUUCUAGCAGUGCUGAGCUUACAGAUCCACAGGUCAAACAUGAGCUGGAGUGGGAUGGUAGCUGCGCUCCUUUCCAGGGCAACUUGGCUUGUUUACAUAGGGUCUAGCUUUGGAAUGUGAGCGCCUGCUCAUGUUUCAGUUUGGCCUGCCCCUAUGCACAACCUGACACAAGGCUUUGGGCACAGGUAGUUAUUUGGGAGAUGAUCUCAGGAAGCAGGAGUAAGGCAGUGGGCAGUGUGAAACAGAGGAGGAAAAGCCACCUAAAGGGUGUGUUACCAAGGCUACUGCUAUAGAACUAGGGUCUCAAUUCUGGGGGGAGCCACUGAGAAGCAUGUGGAAUGUCCCAGAAGUGUCCACCGGAGAGAUACUAGUUGGGGUGGCCUGCAGGGGAAUUAGCGCUCCUACACUAACAAGAAGCCUUUGUGGCCAAGUGGGCCCCAGAUGUCAGAGGAGUCAGAAGAAAGUAGAAAGCUCAGGGAAGCUCCUGAGGUGGGCUUCUGCCAGCAGGUGAACCGUCCACUGCUGGUGAGGCAGGUGAGGGGUUGUGAUGGCAUCAGAGCCUCCCGUGGGGGUGGAGGGUAGGGUCUCUGAGCAAGUCAGUGUGACCUUCAACACUUAAGUGUAGCUUCUUGGGUAGCAGUGGGAAUAGCCUUGAAAACAAAGCCCAGCUUCUCCCUCUGAGAGAAGGAGCUUGUGACCUGUAGUGUUAUUCUUCCUUUGCCUCUUGGGCAGAUAUGUGAGUCCACAUGCCGAGGACUGAAUCUGGGCCGACCAGGAGCCUCUGAGAACAGCCCCUUAGGCUACUUUAGCCACAGUUUACCCUACAUUCCAGUGGGCCCCUUUCUGGAGAGACACUCUGGAGAAGCAGAUGCUAGCCUACUAGCUAUCAUUUAAUGUGCCCCAGUCCAAAUCUACCUAUUUGCCUCAGUGACAGCCUGAAGAUCCUGCCAUCCCUCUUUAAAGACCCAGAACUCAGUAUAAUGAAAGAGGAAUUUAAAAAGGCAAAGAACUAGACCAGACUCUCUAAACCAUUCUUCCCUCAGAGAACCUCCUGCUUCAAGAGUUAAACCUCCACUCAGCCUGUCAGCCCUUUUUCAACUCUCAGGGUCAAGCUGAUGCCCCAAUAGCCUAUACAAGGUCUGAAUCUGUUCAUUUGAGUUUCUGAGCCUGCUUCCCAGGAUUUGCAACUGUGGCAACCUCUCUAAGUAUCACAUUCUCCUGGGAUGAGAAUAUGGUGCUAAAACAAAGACAGCAAAUAAUUUGAGGUCAGGUUUAUUCCACAAAAUUUAAGCUAUUUUCUACUUCUUCAUGAGGCUUCUGGACAUCCCAGUCUGACCUUCUGACCUUGGGCGACUCCAAGUAAUGAUAUGGCUAGGAAGGGAAUGAUCACUGCUAUCUCAUGUGGCCCUGAACCUUUGCAAUAAACCUUCAUUACUGAA
Molecule: RNA transcript, 4251 nt
Organism: Manis javanica (Malayan pangolin)
Lineage: Eukaryota; Metazoa; Chordata; Mammalia; Pholidota; Manidae
Gene: SS18L2
Gene name: SS18 like 2
Source: RefSeq, a predicted model, not a curated record